Molecule: transfer RNA, 72 nt
Filed under: Gaeumannomyces tritici R3-111a-1
Lineage: Eukaryota; Fungi; Ascomycota; Sordariomycetes; Magnaporthales; Magnaporthaceae
Also listed under: 1 other name
Description: tRNA-Ala (TGC) (tRNA-Ala-TGC-2-1)
Rfam family: tRNA
About the family: Transfer RNA (tRNA) molecules are approximately 80 nucleotides in length. Their secondary structure includes four short double-helical elements and three loops (D, anti-codon, and T loops).
Source: RNAcentral
GGGCGUAUGGUGUAGUGGGAGCACGUUCGCUUUGCAUGCGAAAGGUCCGGGGUUCGAUCCCCCGUUCGUCCA